RNAcentral lists this ribosomal RNA (309 nucleotides) under uncultured bacterium. RNAcentral describes it as "partial 16S ribosomal RNA". It matches the Rfam family "Bacterial small subunit ribosomal RNA", at positions 504 to 807 of the family's 1533-position model. The record is from RNAcentral.
AGAGACAGCAGUAGCCGCGGGAAUACGUAGGGUGCGAGCGUUAAUCGGAAUUACUGGGCGUAAAGCGUGCGCAGGCGGUUGUGUAAGACAGGUGUGAAAUCCCCGGGCUUAACCUGGGAACUGCGCUUGUGACUGCACAGCUAGAGUAUGGCAGAGGGGGGUGGAAUUCCACGUGUAGCAGUGAAAUGUGUAGAGAUGUGGAGGAACACCGAUGGCGAAGGCAGCCCCCUGGGCCAAUACUGACGCUCAUGCACGAAAGCGUGGGGAGCAAUCAGGAUUAGAUACCCCAGUAGUCCCUGUCUCUUAUAC